RNAcentral lists this long non-coding RNA (399 nucleotides) under Hordeum vulgare. RNAcentral's name for it is "long non-coding RNA (HVUL_LNC010646)". The record is from RNAcentral. Lineage: Eukaryota; Viridiplantae; Streptophyta; Magnoliopsida; Poales; Poaceae.
CCUUGCUUGCGUGGUGAACUGAUUCUGAUCGAUCGAUCCCAAAAAACCAAAUCGAGAAGACUUGCAACGCCAAACGAAACUAACGCUCCCGCGACUCACCCAUUGCCCUAGCUACUCCGGUCGACCUCGGGACUGGCCGCCGGCGAAGUGCAGAGUGACGGGGAGCGGCCUGCAAGAGAUAUGGCUCACGACAGGGCCUCGACUCCGGUGGUUGACGGUUGCAAUCGAAAGCUCAUGGUGGAGGGUCAAAGCGGCGACUCCUCCCAUGGAAAUUCCAUCCCGACGCCAACGAUGCACGACAACAAGGUUAGUUGUCUUCUGUAAUUAAUCAAUAAUUUUUGUAAUUCUGCGCUGAUUGUCCUCGAUUUCAAUUAUACUUGUUUAAUUUUUUUGUUUUCU